RNAcentral lists this ribosomal RNA (318 nucleotides) under Spodoptera frugiperda (fall armyworm). Its description in RNAcentral is "partial small subunit ribosomal RNA". Lineage: Eukaryota; Metazoa; Arthropoda; Insecta; Lepidoptera; Noctuidae. The record is from RNAcentral.
UAGGAUUAGAUACCCUAUUAUUGAAAAAGUAAAUAAAAAAUACUAAAAUAUUAUAUAAUUAUUUAUUGAAACUUAAAUAAUUUGGCGGUAUUUUAGUUCAUUUAGAGGAAUCUGUUUAAUAAUUGAUAAUCCACGAAUAAAUUUACUUAAUUUAAAAUUUUGUAUAUCGUUGUUAUAUAAAUAUUUUUAAAUAAUUAAUAAUAUUUAAAAAUUUAAUUAAAAAAUUAAAUUAGAUCAAGAUGCAGAUUAUAAUUAAGUAUAUAAUGGAUUACAAUAAAAAUAUUUAAGAUGAAUAUUAAUUUUUAAUAAUUAAUUGAA